This 253-nucleotide ribosomal RNA is filed under the name uncultured bacterium. Its description in RNAcentral is "partial 16S ribosomal RNA". It matches the Rfam family "Bacterial small subunit ribosomal RNA", at positions 524 to 776 of the family's 1533-position model. The record is from RNAcentral.
GACGAACCGAGCGAACGUUAUUCGGAAUCACUGGGCUUAAAGGGCGCGUAGGCGGGCGAUCAAGUCAGGGGUGAAAGCCCCCAGCUCAACUGGGGAAGUGCCUCUGAUACUGAUCGUCUCGAGGGAGAUAGGGGCGUGCGGAACUUCCGGUGGAGCGGUGAAAUGCGUAGAUAUCGGAAGGAACACCGGUGGCGAAAGCGGCGCGCUGGAUCUCUUCUGACGCUGAGGCGCGAAAGCCAGGGGAGCGAACGGG